Macrostomum lignano is the source of this 1891-nucleotide non-coding RNA. NCBI's taxonomy places the organism in Eukaryota, Metazoa, Platyhelminthes, Macrostomidae. The record is from Rfam.
AUGCUGGUUGAUCUGCGCCAGUAUCAUAUGCUUGUUCAAAGAUUAAGCCAUGGCAAUGUCUAAGUACAAACCUAAUAACGGUGAAACCGCGAAUGGCUCAUUAAAUCAGCUAUGGUUCUUAGAUCGCUCAUCCUACUGCGGAUAUACUGUGGAAAAAUCUAGAGGCUAAUGACGUGCUUACAAGCCCUGACCAUCCACGGGAGGGGCCGCUUUAUUAGCAUCAAAACUGGCAUCGGGGCUUGCGCCGUCUGGCUUGGUGACCUCUGGAUAACUUUUGUGCUGAUCGCAUGGCUCUCUGCGCUGGCCCGACGUAUCUUUCAAGUGUCUGCCAUAUCAACUUACGAAAUGGAGGUGAUAAUGCCUACCAUGGUUAUAACGGUAACGGGGAAUCAGGGUUCGAUUCCGGAGAGGAGCCUGAGAUAACGGCUACACAUCUAAGGAAAGGCAGCAGGCGCGCAAAUACCCACGUCCGCGGCAGGGGGUCAGUGACGAAAAAUAACGAUACGGGACUCUAUGAGGCGCCCGUAAUUGGAAUGAGUACCUUAAAUCCGUUAACAAGUAUCUAUUUGGAGGGCAAGUCUGGUGGCCAGCAGCCGCGUAAUUCCAGCUCCAAUAGCGUAAUAUAAGUGUUGCUGCAGUUAAAACGCUCGUAGUUGGAUGCUGAGGACUCGAAUUGGUGGUGCACCAUAGCGGUGUUAACUGCCCGAAUUCGGCCUACCUGUCGGUGCUCGCUCUUGGUGUUCUUAAUUGAAUGCCCUGCAUGCCGCGGCAGUUUACUUGAAAAAUAGAGUGCUCAACCAGGCCAUUAGCCGAAUAAACUUCAGCAUGGAAUAAUGGAAUAAGGACUUCGUUCUAUUUUGUUAGUUUUCGAAACCCGAGGUAAUGAUUAAGAGAGACAGGACGGGGGCUAUUCGUACUGCGGUGAUUAGAAGGUGAAAUUCUUGGAUCGCCGCAAAGACGAACAACAUGCGAAAGCAUUUGCAAGAAUGUUUUCAUUAAUCAAAGAACGAAAGUCAGAGUUCGAAGACGAUCAGAUACCGUCCUAGUUCUGACCAUAAACGAUGCCAACUGGCCGAUGCCGAGAUCGUUUGCUUAUUGACCUCUCGGGCAGCCUGCCGGGAAACUGAAAGAAAGUUUUUUAGUUCGCGGGGAAUAUGGUUGCAGCUGGAACUUAAAGGAAAUUGACGGAAGGGCACCAACCAGGAAGUGGAGCCCUGCGGCUUAAUUUGACUGCAACACGGGAAACAACUCACGCCGGCCCGGACACUGUUAGGAUUGACAGAUUGAGAGCUCUUUCUUGAUUCGGUGGGUGGUGGUGCAUGGCCGUUCUUAGUUGGUGGAGCGAUUUGUCUGGUUAAUUCCGAUAACGAACGAGAACUCUAGCCUGCUAAAUAGUACGCCGACCGAUACCUUUUUCGUCGGUGCUGACUUCUUAGAGGACACAAGCGUCUUGAAGACGACUGCCAACGAGAUUGAGGGCAAUAACAGGUCUGUGAUGCCCUUAGAUGUUCGGGCCGCACGCACGCAGCGCUACACUGAAGGGGACAGCGAUUUUUCCUGGUUCGAAGAACCGGGUAAUCUGUUGAAUUCCCUUCGUGACAAGGGAUCGGGGCUUGCAAUUAUUCCCGUGAACGAGGAAUUCCCAGUAAGGAAUCCCGCAAGUCAUCAGCUUGCGUUGACUUACGUCCUGCCCUUUGUACACACCACAGACCCGCCGCUCGCUACUACCGAUUGAAUGGUUUAGCAAGGUCCUCGAUUGGUGCCGACUUGGUGGCAACACUUUUAGGGCGGCAAGUCGGAAUACUGAAAAGAAGAAGAUCACUUGAUCAUUUAGAGGAAGUAAAAGUCGUAACAAGGUUUCCGUAGGUGAACCUGCGCGGAAGGAUCAAAU